Molecule: ribosomal RNA, 1392 nt
Filed under: metagenome
Description: SSU rRNA
Rfam family: Eukaryotic small subunit ribosomal RNA
Source: RNAcentral
GUGCCCGAACAGGGCGUUGUAAUUGGAAUGAGAACAAUUUAAAUCCCUUAUCGAUUAACAAUUAGAGGGCGAGUCUGGUGCCAGCAGCCGCGGUAAUUCCAGCUCUAAUAGCGUAUAUUAAAGUUGUUGCAGUUAAAAAGCUCGUAGUUGGAUUUCGGCGUGCGCUCAGGCUGGUCGGCCGUCAAGGUCUGUACCGUUUGGGUCACGCCCCACUGUAGGAUACUCACCGCUGUCCUUAACUGGGUGGCGGUCAAAGGGGGUGUGCAUGGGGGCAACUCUGUGCAUAUCUCUGGGGUUCCUACUCUUUUACUUUGAGCAAAUUAGAGUGUUCAAAGCAGGCAAUCGAGCCUUGAAUACUUCAGCAUGGGAUAAUGGAACAGGACUGGGGUCCUGAUUUCGUUGGUUUCUGGGAUCUCAGUAAUGAUUAAUAGGGAUAGUUGGGGGCAUUAGUAUUUAAUUGUCAGAGGUGAAAUUCUCGGAUUUAUGAAAGACUAACUUCUGCGAAAGCAUUGCCAAGGAUGUUUUCAUUAAUCAAGAACGAAAGUUAGGGGAUCGAAGACGAUCAGAUACCGUCGUAGUCUUAACCAUAAACGAUGCCGACCAGCGAUUGGGAGACGUUACAUGGAUAACUCCCCCAGCAGCUUGCGAGAAAUCACAAGUCUUUGGGUUCCGGGGGGAGUAUGGUCGCAAGGCUGAAACUUAAAGGAAUUGACGGAAGGGCACCACCAGGAGUGGAGCCUGCGGCUUAAUUUGACACAACACGGGGAAACUUACCAGGUCCAGACAUAGUAAGGAUUGACAGAUUUGAGAGCUCUUUCUUGAUUCUAUGGGUGGUGGUGCAUGGCCGUUCUUAGUUGGUGGAGUGAUUUGUCUGGUUAAUUCCGUUAACGAACGAGACCUUAACCUGCUAAAUAUGUCACUGGUAGACUUCUGCCAAAACAGGUGGGUGUCUAGGGGAAAGUUUCGAUGGACUCCGACGCAUUCAUCUGUGGAUGACUACCAGGAUGUACCUCUUAGAGGGACUAUCUGUAUCAAAGCAGAUGGAAGUUUGAUGCAAUAACAGGUCUGUGAUGCCCUUAGAUGUUCUGGGCCGCACGCGCGCUACACUGACAAGUUCAACGAGUUUAACACCUUGCUCGAUAGGGCUGGGUAAUCUUUGAAAAACUUGUCGUGAUGGGGAUAGAUCAUUGUAAUUAUUGGUCUUCAACGAGGAAUUCCUAGUAAGCGUGAGUCAUCAGCUCGCGUUGAUUACGUCCCUGCCCUUUUGUACACACCGCCCGUCGCUCCUACCGAUUGAAUGAUCCGGUGAAAUGUUGGGAGCUGGGGUCUUUUGGCGGCGGGGCAACUCGUCGUCAGGGAUUCUGCAAACUUCAUUAAACCUUAUCAUUUAGA